This 636-nucleotide long non-coding RNA is filed under the name Ailuropoda melanoleuca (giant panda). RNAcentral describes it as "lncRNA (ENSAMEG00000029667.1)". The record is from RNAcentral. Lineage: Eukaryota; Metazoa; Chordata; Mammalia; Carnivora; Ursidae.
GACUCUGGUUAAGACAAUAGCUCCUUGAGCAGUCAGGGUGCAGGUGCACACACAGGCUCUGUGCCGGGAUCCCCCACUUAUUUUUCCCUGAGGGUUCGUUCAAGGGUAUGCGUGGCCUCCAGUUGGAGACGCCUACUGAGUUUCAUUUUUUCUUUGUCUGAGGCCCUGCCUUUCUGCGACAGAAAACAAAGGGACCCCAAACCCCUUACGUACAGGCCCUAAGAAGUGGGUCCCUACUCUUCCUGAUGGGAUCCUUGCUUGGUGCCUCAGCUCCUGAUCGCCUGGUGUGACCGCCACAACUCUGCGUGCCUGGUUCUCAGCUACUGCUGUUGUUCCCUUUUACAGAUGUGGACUGGUCACCGUGGGCCCAGGGCCGCACAGUUUGUGCGUGUUGGAACCAUAUCCUGACCUAAGUCAAUUGCCCAGACUGUCCCUCCUGGAGGAAAGCACAAAGGGACAGCAUGCCGCGCAAACAUCUGUACGGAACCAUCAGAACCAUCCCUGGCUGUAAAAUGCAGUGGGGCCGUGCCAGGGCGUCCCAAGGGAAGGUCAGUCUGUCGACACACAUCUAUUAGAACCUUAACUAAAUUCUAAGCUCCCUAAGAACAGGGACUAGUUCUGAUAUGUAUUUGUCAU